This 478-nucleotide ribosomal RNA is filed under the name uncultured bacterium. RNAcentral's name for it is "bacterial SSU rRNA". It matches the Rfam family "Bacterial small subunit ribosomal RNA", at positions 1019 to 1492 of the family's 1533-position model. The record is from RNAcentral.
AAAUCGGGCCAUCACACAGGUGCUGCAUGGCUGUCGUCAGCUCGUGCCGUGAGGUGUUGGGUUCAGUCCCGCAACGAGCGCAACCCUCGCCCUUUGUUGCCAUCGGGUAAAGCCGGGCACUCUAAGGGGACUGCCAGCGACAAGUUGGAGGAAGGAGAGGAUGACGUCAAGUCAUCAUGGCCUUUAUGCCUAGGGCCACACACGUGCAACAAUGGCCGGUACAGACGGAGGCAAUGCCGAGAGGCGGAGCAAACCCGAGAAAACCGGUCCCAGUUCGGAUUGAGGUCUGCAACUCGACCUCAUGAAGUCGGAAUCGCUAGUAAUCGCAUAUCAGAACGAUGCGGUGAAUACGUUCCCGGGCCUUGUACACACCGCCCGUCACACCACGAAAGUUUGUUGUACCCGAAGUCGGUGCCUUAACCUCGCAAGAGGAGAGAGCCGCCCAAGGUAUGGCCGAUGAUUGGGGUGAAGUCGUAAC